Molecule: long non-coding RNA, 236 nt
Organism: Sinocyclocheilus rhinocerous
Lineage: Eukaryota; Metazoa; Chordata; Actinopteri; Cypriniformes; Cyprinidae
Exons: 3
Source: RefSeq, a predicted model, not a curated record
AUACACUGCAGUCAGAUUGAAGUGCCACACAUUGCAUUACUGGGUUCUGGAGGAGGACAAAGAGCCAUGGUGGGUUUGCUGGGAUCCCUGGUUCAGCUUGAUAAAGCGGGUCUUCUGGACUGCAUCCUUUAUCUGAGCGGAGUCUCUGGAUCCACCUGGUGCAUGGCCUCCUUAUACCAAGAACCAGACUGGUCCACCAAACUAGAGACCGUGAAAGACAAUAUCAUCAAGAGACU